Pelobates cultripes (western spadefoot toad) is the source of this 322-nucleotide non-coding RNA. Lineage: Eukaryota; Metazoa; Chordata; Amphibia; Anura; Pelobatidae. The record is from the annotation of a GenBank genome assembly.
AUCAAGACCAACAGUGGUUCUAUCAACACUGCCACCUACAGGUCUGUCAAGUACAUUGACAAUUUUCAUGGGGUUUUACAAACACCAAAACACUGACACCUAUAGGUCAACAGACAAACAACAUUUCACAUACCAAUCGUAUCCAACUACACUGCCACCUAUAGGGCACUCGGCAGAUCUCCAGUGCACUUGCAUUUUGCAACACCAUGUUCACUGACCCCUACCAUUCAAUAAGACAUACAACAAUUCACAUAGCAAGCACUAUGUCAACAUCUGGUAUAAAUACAUAUAUUAUUACACAGUAGCAGACGCAUCUGUAUAG